GGAGUCAGAAAUCGCGUGUGACGGGUCCAGGCGGAGGGCUCUGACUCCUGUGUCACCUUCGUUUUGCACGAUGAAGAUCACACGUUGGGGAACUCUCUCCGCUACAUGAUCAUGAAGAAUGCACUAUUAAGGUACCUGUUCUUUUUUUCUAAUAUCCUCCCUUACUGUGGCACGACAGCAGUUGGAUAUGUGACGGACUGCUGUAUAUGAUGAUCAGUUCCUAAACCCAGAAAUGGAGUUCUGUGGCUAUAGCAUUACUCGUCCUUCAGAGACCAAAAUAAACUUCAGGAUUCAGAUGAGAGGCGAGCUCCCCGCUGUAGAUCCCUUUCGUCAAGGGCUGAAUGAUUUGACUAGAGUCUGCCAGCACAUUCUCAACACUUUUGAGACAAGUAUGAAGACAUACAAAGAGCAGAAAGAGGAAGCCAUGGACUAGUUCUGGAGCGGACCAAAUGUUGAGGUUCCUAUAGCAACAGAGCUCCUAGCAGGGUGCCAACCUUGCAAUUUAGUUUUUACUGAAAUGCAGACGUGCAAGUUAGGAAACAAAUCAAGACAACAAAUUACAGUAAAGUUAGAACAUUAGUAAGCUAGAAACUUAGUCACUUUUUGACAGUUGGUUAGAGUGAAUCAACUAAAGUAAGUUAAAAUAACUUAAAUAGACAGUAUACAUAUAUAAGCUUUUAAUAAGAAAAAACAACCCAUGUAUGCCUCUCAAGGCAAGAAACACACAACUGUAUAUAAACAUUGAUACACACAGAUACACACAAGUGGUAUUUUAUGUUUAAACAUAGUUAUUAUUCUGGUAUUUUGUUAUUCCGGCAUGUUGAAUGUAUUCCCAGCAUUUAACACCAGAAUUCAGACAAAUCUCAGAUAUACAUACAAAAUCCUUAAGAAAUUUUUAGUUAUAUAUAUAUAUAUAUAUAUAUAUGUCUGUGUGUGUGUGUAAAAACAACAAGUCUGUUUGAGCUUACGCUCCCUUCUCAAAUCAAUCCACCAACCUCGAUUUACAGAUUGAAGUAAAUUUAGUACACGGUAGAGCAAUUAAACUUGGAGGCAUCAUAUUAUGGACAACAGGGUGACUUACUGCAUGCUUUCAAAGUUGCAUGUUAGAUUUGUUAAAGUUAAGAAGAGAGUUGGGCUUCAUCACCCACUUCAUCCCUCAGAAAGAGGAAGCAGGAAUUUGGUAAUUCAUCAGAUUGGGAAGAAUUGUGAUUGAAAAAUGUAAUUCCUCCUGUCAAGGCUUGAUCCAUUAUGACUUUCCCUACACUUCAAAACAUUACAUAAUAAGGAUGUCACUAAAAAAUAACAUGGUUGAUCUAAUAAAAUGUAUACUUGCAUGCAUUGUAUAAAUGUGCUUUUUUAAAUGCAUCUCAAUUAGCAUGUACAAAUAUAUAGAUUUGUUUUAAAUACAGUCUUUGAUAUAUUCUGCAUUCACUUUUGAUGUGCUUAUUUCCUCUUACAUGUCAACACGACGAAGGAGGGCUGCACCAAUCAAGAUGUCAUCCUGGCCCGGAUUGAAACAUCAUAGCUGAUUAAUUAAAGACCAGCCCAUUUACUUAACCCAUCACACACCCC
Polyodon spathula (Mississippi paddlefish) is the source of this 1572-nucleotide long non-coding RNA. RefSeq lists it as uncharacterized. The record is from RefSeq and is a predicted model, not a curated record. Lineage: Eukaryota; Metazoa; Chordata; Actinopteri; Acipenseriformes; Polyodontidae. The transcript has 6 exons.